GAUGAACGCUGGCGGCGUGCCUAAUACAUGCAAGUCGAGCGAACAGACGAGGAGCUUGCUCCUCUGACGUUAGCGGCGGACGGGUGAGUAACACGUGGAUAACCUACCUAUAAGACUGGGAUAACUUCGGGAAACCGGAGCUAAUACCGGAUAACAUGUUGAACCGCAUGGUUCAACAGUGAAAGACGGUCUUGCUGUCACUUAUAGAUGGAUCCGCGCCGCAUUAGCUAGUUGGUAAGGUAACGGCUUACCAAGGCAACGAUGCGUAGCCGACCUGAGAGGGUGAUCGGCCACACUGUAACUGAGACACGGUCCAGACUCCUACGGGAGGCAGCAGUAGGGACUCUUCCGCAAUGGGCGAAAGCCUGACGGAGCAACGCCGCGUGAGUGAAGAAGGUCUUCGGAUCGUAAAACUCUGUUAUUAGGGAAGAACAAAUGUGUAAGUAACUAUGCACGUCUUGACGGUACCUAAUCAGAAAGCCACGGCUAACUACGUG
RNAcentral lists this ribosomal RNA (497 nucleotides) under uncultured bacterium. Its description in RNAcentral is "partial 16S ribosomal RNA". It matches the Rfam family "Bacterial small subunit ribosomal RNA", at positions 28 to 507 of the family's 1533-position model. The record is from RNAcentral.